Molecule: long non-coding RNA, 272 nt
Filed under: Marmota monax (woodchuck)
Lineage: Eukaryota; Metazoa; Chordata; Mammalia; Rodentia; Sciuridae
Source: RNAcentral
AUAUUCUUCUAGAAAUGAGGGCCAGAGCUCAGAUGAGCAGAACUGGUAGCAUAUUGUGGAAAAACGAAACAUUUUGAUGUUUUAACCCCAAUAAGCUCAACUCCUUUCUAUUUGAAAACCAAUUGUUUUCAUUGACAGGGUUAAAGCAUUAUACAUGGAUCUUUGUUCCUAGUGUUUUUUUAUGGUAGUAUCAAUUAUGCUUCAGUCCAAUCCAUACUUAAAAUUUUGUUUCCCACUUGUGGAAUCUGAAAUUAUGAUUUAUUAUGAAGCAA